RNAcentral lists this long non-coding RNA (248 nucleotides) under Homo sapiens (human). RNAcentral's name for it is "HSALNT0262954". The record is from RNAcentral. Lineage: Eukaryota; Metazoa; Chordata; Mammalia; Primates; Hominidae.
CCUGAAGCCAGCGUCUGAGUCUCACCAAUGGCACAUGGGUGUUACUCCUCAGAGGUGGCCUCCCUCUGGGCCCAUCAUGCUGAGCCUGGGUUUAGCUGCAACUUCUGGAUCACUGAGAACUCUCAGUCCCACUGCAAAGAUAUACAUGGAAUUUACAUGAGACAUGGAUGACAUAAAGAAUAAGAGAAAGACAAGAGAGAAGAAUAGCCAACCAACAGUUCAGAAAAAAUCAGCACAUGAUAGCCCAU